RNAcentral lists this transfer RNA (72 nucleotides) under Camelus bactrianus (Bactrian camel). It matches the Rfam family "tRNA". From Rfam's summary of the family: Transfer RNA (tRNA) molecules are approximately 80 nucleotides in length. Their secondary structure includes four short double-helical elements and three loops (D, anti-codon, and T loops). Further hydrogen bonds mediate the characteristic L-shaped molecular structure. tRNAs have two regions of fundamental functional importance: the anti-codon, which is responsible for specific mRNA codon recognition, and the 3' end, to which the tRNAs corresponding amino acid is attached (by aminoacyl-tRNA synthetases). tRNAs cope with the degeneracy of the genetic code in two manners: having more than one tRNA (with a specific anti-codon) for a particular amino acid; and 'wobble' base-pairing, i.e. permitting non-standard base-pairing at the 3rd anti-codon position. The record is from Rfam by way of RNAcentral. Lineage: Eukaryota; Metazoa; Chordata; Mammalia; Artiodactyla; Camelidae. RNAcentral also lists the same sequence under 2 other names.
GAGGGAAGAGCUCAGUGGUAGAGCACGUGUUUAGCGUACACGAGGUCCUGGGUUUAAUCCCCAGUACCUCCG